GGGGAUUUAGCUCAGUGGUAGAGAGCUUGCCUAGCAAGCACAAGGCCCUGGGUUCGGUCCCCAGCUCCA
Molecule: non-coding RNA, 69 nt
Organism: Rattus norvegicus (Norway rat)
Lineage: Eukaryota; Metazoa; Chordata; Mammalia; Rodentia; Muridae
Source: Rfam